Molecule: non-coding RNA, 261 nt
Filed under: Virgibacillus salexigens
Lineage: Bacteria; Bacillati; Bacillota; Bacilli; Caryophanales; Bacillaceae
Source: RNAcentral
AAUAACGCUAUGACGGGAAAAAAGGAAUAUAACUUGUGUAUUUGCAGAGAUCCGGGGUUGCUGUGAGCCCGGAAGUACACUAUAUUCUGACAUCAUCUCUGAGUGCCGGACUGAACAGUUUACUUAAUAGGCCGGCCAGGUACUGCUUACCUGUACCUGUUAUCAAUUGAGACCAAUAUAUUGGUCUUGUUGAGUUAGUGUUCGCGAGGAUACUAAAAACCUGGGUGGUACCGUGAAAAGAAGACGCUUUUCUCCCCAAUC